UGGGGGAUAUUGCACAAUGGGCGAAAGCCUGAUGCAGCGACGCCGCGUGGGGGAUGAAGGCCUUCGGGUUGUAAACUUCUUUUGCUCUGAACAAGGCAUGCUAAUGGGUGUGUUGAGGGUAGGGGUUGAUUAGCGCCGGCUAACUACGUGACAGCAGCCGCGGUAAUACGUAGGGCGCGAGCGUUGUCCGGAAUUAUUGGGCGUAAAGGGCUUGUAGGUGGCUGGUUGCGUCUGUCGUGAAAGCUCAUGGCUUAACUGUGGGUUUGCGGUGGGUACUGGCUGGCUUGAGUGCAGUAGGGGAGGCUGGAAUUCCUGGUGUAGCGGUGGAAUGCGCAGAUAUCAGGAGGAAUACCGGUGGCGAAGGCGGGUCUCUGGGCUGUUACUGACACUGAGGAGCGAAAGCAUGGGGAGCGAACAGG
Molecule: ribosomal RNA, 419 nt
Filed under: bacterium
Lineage: Bacteria
Description: partial 16S ribosomal RNA
Rfam family: Bacterial small subunit ribosomal RNA
Source: RNAcentral